RNAcentral lists this ribosomal RNA (484 nucleotides) under uncultured bacterium. RNAcentral's name for it is "partial 16S ribosomal RNA". It matches the Rfam family "Bacterial small subunit ribosomal RNA", at positions 30 to 507 of the family's 1533-position model. The record is from RNAcentral.
AUUGAACGCUGGCGGCAGGCCUAACACAUGCAAGUCGAGCGGAUGAAGGGAGCUUGCUCCUGGAUUCAGCGGCGGACGGGUGAGUAAUGCCUAGGAAUCUGCCUGGUAGUGGGGGAUAACGUCCGGAAACGGGCGCUAAAACCGCAUACGUCCUGAGGGAGAAAGUGGGGGAUCUUCGGACCUCACGCUCUCAGAUGAGCCUAGGUCGGAUUAGCUAGUUGGUGGGGUAAAGGCCUACCAAGGCGACGAUCCGUAACUGGUCUGAGAGGAUGAGCAGUCACACUGGAACUGAGACACGGUCCAGACUCCUACGGGAGGCAGCAGUGGGGAAUAUUGGACAAUGGGCGAAAGCCUGAUCCAGCCAUGCCGCGUGUGUGAAGAAGGUCUUCGGAUUGUAAAGCACUUUAAGUUGGGAGGAAGGGCAGUAAGUUAAUACCUUGCUGUUUUGACGUUACCAACAGAAUAAGCACCGGCUAACUUCGUG